CUCUCCUUCUCCAAAAGGCCGAGGAGAACAAGUUGGCUCCCUCCUAUUCUCCUCUCGCUCUCGCUCUCUCUCUCUCGCGAAGCGGACUCCACUACCUCGAAGACCCCUAUGGUGCUAGGGAUGGCUAAGAACCUCCUUCCCACAAAGGAAACGAGUCUGUCAUGGCACAGAUACCUUGUGUAGUAAGGGAUUGGACCUCGUCGAAUGUUUGGUGGCCCUCUUUCGUCUUGGACUUACCCCCAGCCGGACGUGUCACACGCUGCUCAGUGCUACCUCGAAGAUAGAGUGUACGUUUACCACGAGGUUUCCUAAGUGGAAACGGCCUAUCAAACGAAGCACUACGAGCGUAGGAGAUAACACGAAGAGGACGGUACCCAGUAUUGUUCCUUCGUGUAGGUCUUAGUUUGUUUUCUCACGGUCGUUAUCAACUACGAGAGCUUUUUAACCUCGAAUGUGGUUUCGUAGCCCCAAGUGUCCAAGAACUUUAGGUUUUAAAGAUGGGACGAAGUGAACUACUACAACGUGCUCAAGUAAGUUCUUGUAUGUAGUGACCUGAGCUUUUCCGAUACUCAUUCCGAAACCUACUUCCAAACUAUAAGUAGCUUCCUUGACCUGGUUGUAUACGAUGUGUCUGAUGAAAGCGUCUUAGUGAAGAAAGUCGACCACGACCUUAAUGUAACCAACUAAGUCACACGAGCAAAGGGUUCUUUACAACAUACAAAAGGAUCCAACGGCGUAGUUUCGACCCGGAUUCAGGUGGAGAACCUAAACGCGAUUAUUCCGGUGGGCCUGUGGUACGACAAGGACUUCCAGGGUACCCGAAAACGCAGAAACCCUUGUAACGUCAACGUCGAGCCAUGCGAGUCGUAGUUGUACCUAACUUCGCUCAUUACUAUUAUCUAAAACUGCAAGUGGUACCGUUACCGUGUAGACUACGGAAAAUACUGCUAGGUCUGUAGAAGAAGGAGAGUUGGGUGGUCCAGAUAGUCUGGUAGUGGAAUGUAUGAGUGACGACCGAAUAAAAUGGUAAUGGUACUAUCAGUAAAAGAAAAGACUUAAACCACAUACAUCGAUCCUUCGAUAGGGCCAUGACCAUUCUACUUGGAUUAACCAGUCCCGUCACCGCUUCCUUGUUGCGAGUUGGACGGUAACGGGCCACCGAGUCCACUGAUGAGUUACUCCACGCGGAAACUACUCCAGUAACGAGGUAGACGCGUCGCCAAGUUCGGGCUAUAGUAGGAGCAAAGUCGACCGAUGCUGCGCGUGCGCGACCUGGGAGAUCGCCCAGACGUCAAGUGCUGCCCGUGCAAGAUGUACGACCGCAGCUCGUAGUUCGUCGACCGGUCCCUCGACACGUCGCCGGCGACGCAGAAGAAGGACCUUCCACCAAUGUUGGACGUCAGCGAGAGGUCGAGACACCGACUGUGGAAGGCGCGCAAGGAGCUGCUCGGGUCGGAGCGACGAGUCAAACUGCUGGGCUGUUACAACAUACUCCUCGGCUGCGCCUCCUAGUUCCUCCGCUAACUCUUCCAGUCCGUAGAAGUGAGCGAGAUCCAAUGCGCGGCCCUCUACUCCACAUCUGAGAUAGCGAACGUCGCGUGCGUGGUACUUUAGUCUAGUGCACAACGUAAACGUCCAAGUCUCUCACCCACACACACAAACUUUGUAGACGAACGACCAGUAUGUGUGAACCAAUUGACGACAGUUUUCGUACCUAAGUAAUCCCUAGGACGUGUGUAUUAUGUUGACCCAGUAUGUAUCUUAACACACACACGCACACACAUACAUAAAUAACACCUAGUACGCACAUAUAUUAUGACGUAAAACGGGAAGGUUUUUUUAAUGCAAUAGAUAGAGAUUGAGGAAUACCG
This 1871-nucleotide ribosomal RNA is filed under the name Triticum aestivum (bread wheat). RNAcentral describes it as "partial small subunit ribosomal RNA". The record is from RNAcentral. Lineage: Eukaryota; Viridiplantae; Streptophyta; Magnoliopsida; Poales; Poaceae.